UAACCAUCCGGAGCGGCUGAGAGACCUGGCUCGUCGACGUCGCAGCAACCGGCACGGAUCCGUCCGAUCCCCGUGCGAGGUGCUAAUGCCAGGACCGAUGGAGU
RNAcentral lists this non-coding RNA (104 nucleotides) under Kocuria sp. RNAcentral describes it as "SAM-I sequence". It matches the Rfam family "SAM riboswitch aptamer (S box leader)". From Rfam's summary of the family: The SAM riboswitch is found upstream of a number of genes which code for proteins involved in methionine or cysteine biosynthesis in Gram-positive bacteria. The SAM riboswitch acts at the level of transcription termination control. The record is from RNAcentral. Lineage: Bacteria; Bacillati; Actinomycetota; Actinomycetes; Micrococcales; Micrococcaceae.